CAGCAGCCGCGGUAAAACGUAGGGUGCAAGCGUUAAUCGGAAUUACUGGGCGUAAAGCGUGCGCAGGCGGUUAUAUAAGACAGAUGUGAAAUCCCCGGGAUCAACCUGGGAACUGCAUUUGUGACUGUAUAGCUAGAGUACGGCAGAGGGGGAUGGAAUUCCGCGUGUAGCAGUGAAAUGCGUAGAUAUGCGGAGGAACACCGAUGGCGAAGGCAAUCCCCUGGGCCUGUACUGACGCUCAUGCACGAAAGCGUGGGGAGCAAACAGGAUUAGAUACCCCCGUAGUCCCUGUCUCUUAUAC
RNAcentral lists this ribosomal RNA (301 nucleotides) under uncultured bacterium. RNAcentral describes it as "partial 16S ribosomal RNA". It matches the Rfam family "Bacterial small subunit ribosomal RNA", at positions 509 to 807 of the family's 1533-position model. The record is from RNAcentral.